RNAcentral lists this ribosomal RNA (245 nucleotides) under uncultured bacterium. RNAcentral describes it as "partial 16S ribosomal RNA". It matches the Rfam family "Bacterial small subunit ribosomal RNA", at positions 524 to 768 of the family's 1533-position model. The record is from RNAcentral.
GACAGAGGUGGCAAGCGUUGUUCGGAAUCACUGGGCUUAAAGCGCGUGUAGGCGGCUUGGUAAGUGUCGUGUGAAAUCCCGCGGCUCAACCGCGGAAUGGCACGGCAAACUGCCCGGCUUGAGGUCGGUAGAGGUGCCUGGAACUCCAGGUGGAGCGGUGAAAUGCGUAGAUAUCUGGAGGAACGCCGGAGGCGAAAGCGGGGCACUGGGCCGAUUCUGACGCUGAGACGCGAAAGCGUGGGGAG